GGUCGAUUAGCUCAGUCGGUAGAGCAUCGUGCUGAUAACGCGAAGGUCGUGGGUUCGAACCCCAUAUCGACCA
Molecule: non-coding RNA, 73 nt
Organism: Acanthaster planci (crown-of-thorns starfish)
Lineage: Eukaryota; Metazoa; Echinodermata; Asteroidea; Valvatida; Acanthasteridae
Source: the annotation of a RefSeq genome assembly